AAAAAAAAAAAUGAUAAGAGCCAUAAGAGUUAAAGAAAAACCCAAUUCACUAGAUUAGACUCAUAGAGUUUAAGAAAAGCUUCUCCUUAAGAACAAGAGCCAAAGAAAAGAAAAGGAAACAUUGAUCCAAGAAAAAAUAGAAAUAUGCCUUUAGUGCAAAAGAGUAGACUUAUGAUCAUCAUUGGGUUUAGAGAUAGGACCAUCUACUUGUUAUUCACGGUUUAUGUCAUUGGGUAGAUGGGAUGCUAUUCUUGUAUGCAUAGGUUGGCACUUACCUUUAGCAUUCUUCUAAAGCUUAGUCCUUUUUCAUUGAGAGUCCCCUGCUACUAAAAUCUAAACCACUAAAAAGGGACCAUCUUUGUCUCAUAACCUGUCAUUAGCCAAAUGAGUUCACUAGCGAUGCAUAUCUUGAUUCAUGUUUUUGAACUUAAUGAAUGUUAAAGGGAUUGGUUGAUCUUGACGCAUUGUGCAUUUGAGUGUAGGUUUGGAUCAUAACAGAGCAUGGCUAAAGUUUUUGAGUAGAAGUCGAUCACCUCGCAUCUUAGAACUGUUAGCUGGUACAUUGAUCUUAAUUGUCAUAUCUCAUGCUUUGGUUCUGAAUCCCCAACUUCAAACCUCUCCUUCUGCUUAUGUCUUCUUGUUUGCUUGAGGGCAAGCAAAGACUAAGUUUGGGGGAGUUGAUAUGUCUAUAAUUUGCAUGAUUUACGCAUUCAUUCUUCACCACUUUGUCAUUGUUUAAUCCACAUUUCAUCUCAUUAGGAGUUG
Molecule: small RNA, 765 nt
Filed under: Arabidopsis thaliana (thale cress)
Lineage: Eukaryota; Viridiplantae; Streptophyta; Magnoliopsida; Brassicales; Brassicaceae
Description: ATSL091210
Source: RNAcentral